RNAcentral lists this ribosomal RNA (256 nucleotides) under uncultured bacterium. RNAcentral's name for it is "partial 16S ribosomal RNA". It matches the Rfam family "Bacterial small subunit ribosomal RNA", at positions 524 to 776 of the family's 1533-position model. The record is from RNAcentral.
UACGUAGGGUGCGAGCGUUAAUCGGAAUUACUGGGCGUAAAGUGUGCGCAGGCGGCUGAGCAAGUCGAGUGUGAAAGCCCCGGGCCUUAACUUGGGAAUUGCGCUCGAAACUACUUGGCUGGAGUGUGGCAGAGGAAGGUGGAAUUCCGACGUGUAGCGGUGAAAUGCGUGAGAUAUCAGGAGGAACACCUGUGGUGUAGACAGCUUACUGGACCACUUCUGACGCUGAGACACGAAAGCGUGGGUAGCAAACAGG